AGUAACACGUGGGUAACCUGCCCUAAAGUGGGGGAUAGCCAACCGAAAGGUUGAUUAAUACCGCAUAACCCAAUGAUAUCACAUGAUAUUAUUGGCAAAGGAGUAAUCCGCUAUAGGAGGGACCCGCGGUCCAUUAGCUAGUUGGUGAGGUAACGGCUCACCAAGGCGACGAUGGAUAGCCGAUCUGAGAGGAUGAACGGCCACAUUGGAACUGAGACACGGUCCAG
Molecule: ribosomal RNA, 227 nt
Filed under: uncultured bacterium
Lineage: Bacteria
Description: partial 16S ribosomal RNA
Rfam family: Bacterial small subunit ribosomal RNA
Source: RNAcentral